Molecule: ribosomal RNA, 622 nt
Filed under: uncultured Actinomycetes bacterium
Lineage: Bacteria; Bacillati; Actinomycetota; Actinomycetes
Description: bacterial SSU rRNA
Rfam family: Bacterial small subunit ribosomal RNA
Source: RNAcentral
GAAAGCGCGGGGACCGAACAGGAUUAGAUACCCUGGUAGUCCGCGCCGUAAACGAUGGGCGCUAGUUGUGGGGACCUUCCACGGUUUCUGCGACGCAGCUAACGCAUUAAGCGCCCCGCCUGGGGAGUACGAUCGCAAGAUUAAAACUCAAAGGAAUUGACGGGGACCCGCACAAGCAGCGGAGCAUGCGGCUUAAUUCGACGCAACGCGAAGAACCUUACCAAGGCUUGACAUAUAGCGAAAAGCGGCAGAGAUGUCGUGUCCGCAAGGGCGCUAUACAGGUGGUGCAUGGUUGUCGUCAGCUUGUGUCGUGAGAUGUUGGGUUAAGUCCCGCAACGAGCGCAACCCUCGUUCUGUGUUGCCAGCAUUUAGUUGGGGACUCACAGGAGACUGCCGUGGUUAACACGGAGGAAGGUGGGGAUGACGUCAAAUCAUCAUGCCCCUUAUGUCUUGGGCUGCACGCAUGCUGCAAUGGCCGAUACAAAGGGCUGCAAUACCGUGAGGUGGAGCGAAUCCCAUAAAGUCGGUCUCAGUUCGGAUUGAGGUCUGCAACUCGACCUCAUGAAGUCGGAGUUGCUAGUAAUCGUAGAUCAGCAACGCUCAGGUGAAUACGUUCCCGGGU